This 99-nucleotide non-coding RNA is filed under the name uncultured Agathobacter sp. Its description in RNAcentral is "THF riboswitch". It matches the Rfam family "THF (Tetrahydrofolate) riboswitch aptamer". From Rfam's summary of the family: THF riboswitch presents a pseudoknot that joins P1-P2 and the loop of P3 and two THF binding. Lineage: Bacteria; Bacillati; Bacillota; Clostridia; Lachnospirales; Lachnospiraceae. The record is from RNAcentral.
GCAGAGUAGGAUUUUGUGCGUGAAGUGCCAUGUGAACAGGGAGUUGUCAUGUGGACGAAGAUUUGCAAAAAUCGCGAUACAGAGUUCGCAUCCCGCUGC